Molecule: ribosomal RNA, 505 nt
Filed under: uncultured bacterium
Lineage: Bacteria
Description: bacterial SSU rRNA
Rfam family: Bacterial small subunit ribosomal RNA
Source: RNAcentral
GACGAACGCUGGCGGCGUGCUUAACACAUGCAAGUCGAACGGAGAUUAUUAAUGAAGCUUGCGAUUUAAUAAUCUUAGUGGCGGACGGGUGAGUAACGCGUGGGCAACCUACCCAUAAGCGGGGGAUAACAGUUGGAAACGACUGCUAAUACCGCAUAAGCUAUAGAGGUCGCAUGACCUAAAUAGUAAAGGUGGCAUUUAAAGAUGCUAUCACUUAUGGAUGGGCCCGGUCUGAUUAGCUAGUUGGUGGGGUAGUGGCCUACCAAGGCAACGAUCAGUAGCCGGCCUGAGAGGGUGGACGGCCACACUGGGACUGAGACACGGCCCAGACUCCUACGGGAGGCAGCAGUGGGGAAUAUUGCGCAAUGGGGGAAACCCUGACGCAGCGACGCCGCGUGAGCGAAGAAGGCCUUAGGGUUGUAAAGCUCUGUUCUAUGGGACAAGUCCUUGACUGUGAAUAAUGGUCAAGGUUGACGGUACCAUAGGAGGAAGCCCCGGAACUACG